Molecule: non-coding RNA, 8353 nt
Organism: Sus scrofa (pig)
Lineage: Eukaryota; Metazoa; Chordata; Mammalia; Artiodactyla; Suidae
Source: RefSeq, a predicted model, not a curated record
UGUGACCUACACCAUAGCUCACGUCAAUGCCAGAUCCCUGACCAUGGAGUAAGGCCAGGGAUCAAACCUGCCUCCUCAUGAAUACUAACUGGAUUGGUUUCUGAUAUGUCACAACGGGGCUCCCAGGGGGCUAGACUUAUUUAAAGCCUGGAGGCUGGAUUACAAAAGAGAACAUCCAAAAAGGACAAACCCUGAUGCGUAGGUGCUUACUGAACUUCUGUUUAUACCAUACUUCCUAGUGACCAAAGCAAUUCACAGGGCAAACCCACAGUCAGUGAGGGAACUAUACAAGGGCAUGAAUACAGAGAGGUGCAACAGGUUGCAGGCCAUCCAUCUACAGUCUACCACAAGAACCUAAAAAUAAAAUCUAGCUAGGUAUCCGUUUUCAAGCUUUUCAACAUAUUUUUAACAAGUGUCUGGUAUAUGAUUAACAUUUUACUAGGUACAAAGACUUAAAGACUCCCUUCCUUUAGUAAGGGAGGGAAGAUAUAUAGAAAUCUUUGAGAUCUUACCUAGCAUGAAAUAAAAAGAAAUGUCUUUAUUGGUCUCGGCCCCUAGUUCCUGACACAAGGCUCCUGAAAUCCUUGUAAAUUCCUAAGUGAUAAGAGCCCUAGGAGCAUCUCUUGUUCUAAUAUUUGGUUUUGACCUGCCCCUGACCUUGUAAAUUCCUAAGUGAUAAAGAUACUAGGAGCAACUUUUUGUUCUCUUGAGACAACUCCGGAUGGGGGUCAGUCAUUGGAAAGACUUGGAAUUUUUCAGUCCUGCCUCUCAUUCUCUUGAGAGGGAAGAAAUGCUGAAAAUGGAGUUAAUGAUCAAUCAUGCCUACAUGCUGAAACCUCCACAAAAGUUCCCAAAGUACAGGGUUUGGAGAACUUCCAGGUUAUCAACUACUUCUACACCAGGAGGAUGAUGCACCCCAACUCCAUAGGGAUGAAAGCUCCCCUGCUCUGGCCUCUCCCAGGCCUCACCCCAUGUAGCUGUUCUUCUGUUCGUUUUGUCAGAUUCUUUACUACACUGGUAACUGUAAGUAAGCAUUUGCUGGAGUCCUGUGAGCUGCUCUAGCAAACUAACUAAAUCCAAAGGGGAAAGAGGUAAAAAAAACUCUGAUUUGUAGCCAAGUCAGAGAGGAGUUGUAGGUAACCAGGGGACUGACUACUUGGGACUAGCAUCUUAAGUGGGUUGGGAGCGGUCUUACAGGACUGACCCUAAACUGGUGGAAUCUGACACUAUCUCCAGGAGGGAUACACAGCUGGUGUCAGGGAAAAUUGCUUGGUGUAGGGAAAAAAAACUCAUACAUUUGGCUAUGAAGUGUCAGAAGUGAAGUGUUGUGAGUGUGGUCAUAGUAUGAGAGUAAAGAUACACACAAGUAGAAGACUGAGUUUUUUUAAAUACACCUGGUUAAGGAGAUAUACAUGAAGAGGGAAUGGGCUCAGGAACAGCUCCACUUUGCCCCUCCGCCUCAAACUUCCAAAACAAAUCUCAGUUUGAGGCAAGUGACACAUGAAAUGAAUCUGAGGAUAGGUGAAUAGUGCAAAUAUGCAAAAUUCAACCAUAUUAGAAAAAAACUGAUGUCAAUACGGAUCAGCAAUUCUACACAAGCAGGCCAGGUCUUUAAGUAAAUGCAAAACAUAUUUGUUUCAUUUAACUUUUACAAGUGAAACUAUGGCUCCUUUAGUCUAAUUUUAUGCAAUAAAAAAUUCAUAUACUGAGUAUAUGAAUUUUCUACUCAAAGGGCUUGAUCACACAGUUCUGAAGCUCAGAAGUUUCGUAUCAGAUACCAAGAGAAGAUAAGCAUAAGCAUCGGAAGAGGGUAAAUAUUAUGACAGGUUUCAUAAGGUCAGAUUUUACUUAAAAUUUGGGAAAACAUGUAAAAUUUAGCAUAGUAUAGAGAAGACUAUCAGAAGUGUGGGGGAAAAAGCCCGGUUAUAACAUCUGUUGAACUUUCCUGAGGGAAUAGACUAAAGCCGCGAGUAAACAGGAGAUUUGAUUGGGGUUAUUUUGAUUGCUUGGUAAUACACUUUCUUUCUGUUUCUGUAAAAUCAGAAUGCCUCAACACCUAAUUGACCCAGUGGUUAAAACCAUCACAGCGACUGCCCUACAGUGUGAAUACUCCUCCAGGACGUUCUCUUGAUUGGACCAGAUGGCCUUUCUAUGCUUAUAAUCAAUAUAUUAUGUGACCUGUAAAUGGUUGGUCUAAACUUCCAGGGAUGACAUUACUCUAUUCAACAGUGCUCUUCCACCAAGAAUAAGCAGGUAAGGCAGUAACUUCUUUUAAUGUUAAGUGUUCUUUUAAUUCUGAUAAUUUAAGAGGCACACUUUCAUGCAAGAUGUAGAUGACUUUCAAUCCUCCUUAUGAAUUAUUUUUGGUGUUCUCAACAUAGUGCAUACAAAUAGGAGUGAGACCAAAGCAGCAGUUUUUAAAAAUAAAAGAAACCAUAACCCUAGACUUUUCCUGCCACAGAUUACCUGAACUGCAUCUUAAAUUCACCUCGAGUAAGACUUAAAGGAUGCCUGCAUUAACUAUAGCAAAAACUGGUGAUCAGACGAUUCUCCAAUCACAGAAACUCACAAUAGGUGCUGAGCCUCCCUUCCCUACAGGACCUAAAUACCCCUUAAAGUUUUAAAAGCCUGAUCUAUGCUUGGAGUCUACCUCCUCCCCAAAUAGUCGUGCAACCAAAAGUACCAAUAAUUUAUGCAAAUAAGAGGCUAAAAACUCCUGCUCUUCUAGUUGUCCACCAUGUCGGUGCUAGUUUGGAUCUGUGUGCAGGGGCGUGGAUGAGUGUGUAAAAUCCGGUGUUUUUCAUAAAGAAGGCAUUAAAUUGAGGCCAAUAGGUCACCCUCCCCUGUUGAGCAGGCUGUAUCAUGUUUAUUUCUCCCCAGGAGCGGCUCAGGCUAUCCUGCGUGCCCUUAGGCAGCAGGACAUCACUCGUAUUUGAGGUUUUCAAAGUAAACGAAGAACCGGGCGCUUUUCCUGAGUUCAAAAUCCGCCUGAGAACUUGAACACUGAGAGUUCGGUGGCAACGAAAGGUGCCUACAAGUUGCACCACGUUUGUCUGGCACUUUCCACUGAGGCUAGUCUAAUAAACGGGGGGUGGCGGGAAAGGAGAGAGGGAGGGAGGGAAACACCCUCCUCCUCUUUCAGAAACUGCACCUCAGCUUGAGAUUUGGGUAUUAUUUUACCUGUAUUUAUAAAAACCACCACCGCACUCCCUGCAUGAACCACCCCACUGCCUCGACUUCCAAGAGAAGCAGCUACUGAGACCAAAGAGGGGAAGACUGAGGAGCGGGGAGAAGACAAAUCAAUAAACAAAAGCGCGCGCGAGCGAGGGGGACCGAGAGAGGAGGGAGCGACAGCGGCAGGUUCAAUUAGCUAAACAAAGAAAUCAUGGCGGAUUGUUUACAUUUGGCAGCGCCCGGGCCGCGCGACCGCCGGCCCCAAGCCGCCGCGGCCCCCGAAGAGUCGGCGAGCUGCCCCCACGCCCCGGCCGAGAUUCGAAACCAUGCUUUGCUGAAAACGUCUGGCUGCCGGUCUAGAUCAUGACUCCUAAGAUUCUCAAUCUACUGCGGUGAUGCCAUUACUUUGGGACUUACUAAUUUGGGCUUCUUCCAGAGCUGAAAACUGAUUACAAAUAUGAAACAGAUUUUACUACUGGACUUGAACUCCACAUAAAGAAUAAAAAGAUUCUCAAAAUAAUUGAAAAAGAUCUUCACCAAAGAAUAGAUGCAGUGUGACUGGAAGAGUAUCAAAGAGAUUUGGGUAUUAGCCCUGACACAUAACAGGCAAUGAAAUGCUGAUUGAGUGAAGGAAGAAUCUGUCUCCCAGUAUCGUGGGAACUCUUCUGAGACCGCAGGAUGGUGUGUGUGGUACUUGAUUGCAUUGUACAAACACACUAAUCUAGAGUAGAUUGGAAAGAAAGAAGAAGGUGAAGGAGCAGAGAUGAUUCAGGAGCACAAGGCAAGAGCUCCACCUCUCACAAAGACUUGACGGUUGCAAUGCUCACAAGGGAAGAAUAUGGCAUGAAAAAGAUGACCUUCUCCAUAAACCUGGGACCCUAAACAAGCUACACUCUCAAUUAUCCCACACAGAGCUGAUGGAAUUACCUCAUGAUGAUUUCAAAGAAAAUUCUCUUCUCUAAACACUUUUAUCCCAAGAAGGCAUCAGACCGGGACACUGAGUCCUGUUCCAGAUGGGUGUAUCACAGAACCACUUCCAGGAUGGUAGGGUCACCCCAGAGCCUAUGGAUCCAGAAAAUGUGAUGAUGCAACACAUACCCAACCUUGCUUCUGCCAACGUGGAUUCAGGGCGCCUGGUAGUGACUGAGCACUAAGCACAUGGCAAGCAUUCAACACAGAGAAAUGGAGAUACAUCUUGGAGAUAAAUAGAAGGCCAGCCUCCUCCUAUUGGAAGACGCUGGGUUGAGGUUCAGAGCAGAAAACGCAGUAAAGGGAAGAGCCCAAGGAUUUGAAAGGUUUGGAACAUGGUGAUGGAGGAAUAACACUUCCGGGGGGUGGUGGUGGUGAAGAUACUUUCUCCUCCCCGGUUGACCAGAGGGUGCCGCAUCCAGUGAAAGAAGAUGGUGUUGGUGGAGUGUACACAUGCAGUAACAUCCUCACCUUCCAAACACCUACAGAUGCCACUGUGGACAUUUUUCCAUCCCUCUUCUCACCAUGCACACAGUUUGGUAUACUUUGGCAGGCCCUUUACCUAAUUUUUAACCCUCAAAGAUGCUAAAGCAGAAGUAAGCAUAUGGUAUAAAUGGAAUGAAUGAAAGCAAACAAGGGCAAAGAGAAGCAUUUAUUUAGCCUUGGGAAGAGAGACACAUAGGUCUUUCCUAAACUGGUAUAUAAGUAAAGAGCUAUUGGAUUGAUCUUUUUGUGAUUGUUCCUUCCUAGUUUUAGUAACAUAUUCUAAGUUGGGAGAAAUUCCUUCUCUUGUCAAUAAGAUAUAAAGAGAAGAAAAUUUUAAAAUAUUUGCAAUCCUUCCUCUAGAAUUUCAUGCUAAUUUUGCCUCUUUUUCUCUCUCCUCUAGAUAGUUGUUUUUAUACAGAGCAUUCUUGUGUAUUUCUUGUGUAUUUCUCCCAUUGUUUUUUCCUGAAGAAAAUACAGGGAUUAUUGAAGAUAAGCAGACAAGAUCAAGACAGUAUUUACCUUUCUUUGUGAAGUGCUUCCAGACUUGUUUAGAUGCAAUGCUCUCGAAGGCAAUAGCCUAACCAAAGGUUCAUAGCACACCAAGAAGAAGGUUGGAAAAUGUUCUGUGGAGUUGCCUCUGGAAGAAUGAGGGAUGCAGGAAGUCACCUCAGAUGAGAGAGGAUGGGAACUAGGAAAUUGGCACCUGUGGGUGAGAGAGUUGGAACUCAUGCUACCAUUCUCCUCUUUACGCAUGUGGAGACCACAUGCGACCUCAGAAUCUUUCUCAACACCAUGUUCCAAGAAGCAGUUAAUUGAGGAUGGCCGAAGCAUUGGUGAGUAGAAUACCUUCCAAACCUUGGGAAAGACAUGUGCUUUAUAGAUACCUCACUAAUUUUCCUCUUUAUACUUCACACCGGCUCUUCAGCUUAUUACACAGAUAUGUAAAAAUACAGAAAAAGCUUUCAUUAAAAGCUAGAAAAAGCAUAAAAGAAAGGCAAAGAAGUAAAAUCCAUACCAUGUGAUCCUCAAAGUUUCUUCCAGUGUACUUCCAACUUGGAUUUCAAUUUUCCAGCUCUCUAUUGUCAAAGAAAGUCCUUCACAAGCCCAUGUGAUGACUGUGGCAACAAGGACAGGGCUCUAAGAGGGCCUCGGUAGGGUGGCAUUUAGGGGCCACCUUACCUUCAUCUUUUCUCAGGUUUUCCUUGUAUGACUACUGAAUGUCCCUUCCCCUUCCCAGAGAAAAUGACCCCAUAGUGCCUUCCCUCCAACUAGCAAACUUUCAUCUUAACCUGCCUUCUACUCAAUGUAAAUUCUACAAUGUUUCAAGAGCCUUUUGUACAAUAUGGAAACUUCAAGCAGAGGACCCAAGGCAUUUUCUUUCAUCAACCUUCUAAUUUCAUCAAAGCACUAAAAAAGAAAUCUAUUUGGCUUUUUCCUUGUCCAGUACUCUAUUUCUUCUCAAGCACAUUCAAAAGCCACCUCUGUGAUUUGAAGACGCCUCUGUGGAAUUAUGUAAUUGGACCAACAGUGGCCAGUUCUCCACACUCUUGCUCCCUCACAUUAUUGCAGAGCAGACUACUGUUUUGCAGACCUUUCUCAUUGCAUAAAUGGCUACAUUAUCACUGUGUACACAUUAGGACAAGCAAAUUGGCCCCUUAAGGCAAAUAAGGGUUCAAAUAACCCCGACAAGGUAGUCCAGCUGAACUGAGGAUUCACCCUUGUUACAACUUAUUGCUUUAUGGGACAUGAGCUGGUGCAAGGGACAGACUGCUUCAAGUGUGUUUCUACCGAUCCUGCUGGCAAAUCACAGCUUUAUUACAGUAAUGAGCCUGACCAUAUUUCUGUGCUUAUGCAUAUUAGGCACCAAAUGUAUUUUCUGGCCUGCCAGCCUGUGGUAGUAACUAACAUGAGCAAUUUGUCCUGGGUUACAGUGUGUGUGCAUGCAUUAGGUAUGAGCAUGUUAGUUGCUUUGGGUUAUAAAAUACUACAUGUUUCAUCAUGCGUAUUUUAUAUGCACAACUCAACUGUAUGCAAAGUAGCUUGGCAAUUAACCAACACAACUUAUUAGUUUACUACAAGGUUAUUGCAUAAAUAAUGUGAAUUGGGGAUAGCCACAAUUUCAAUUCAGUAAUAUUAAAAAUUUCACAGGAUUAUUAAAUAUAUAAAGGAAAUGCUGAGUUUUUCUCUAUGGUACACAUGUUAAGGUCCUUUAAAAAAUAUCCUGAUUCUCCUUUCAGUUUCAUUUCUUUAUAGGAGACUAUGGGAUUUUAGGCCACGAAUUCCCCCAUACUUGUUGUGGCUGACAUUUGGGCUUUGACCCCAUCAGUUCCAGGUAAAGGUGAAUGGUCAUUAUUAUCAUGUCCUCCUCAGGAUCAUAUUUUAUGAAUGCCAUUUAUUGGGUCCCUGAUUAUUAAAAAGUGGCAUCAGCAUAAUUCAACUCACACACUAAAAACAAUAUUUUGUCACUCUCUUUACUUUGACCAUUGGAAUCAUAAAGCUUGGUGCAGUUUGCUUGAUUGUAUGGUGGUAUAGGAAGCACACCCCUUCAGGGGUUCACUCCAAGACAUAUGGAAGUACGUCCUCCCGAAAUCUUAAUUAAAAUGAACUCUUUGUCCUGGUUCUCUAGGAAAUAAACAAACAAAAACAAGUACAUGAAUAAAUAAUUAGAAUUGGUGGGAGACCUCUGCCGAAGCAAUUGCUGUUCUUGCCACUUCCGCACACAUCACUUAAGUUGUCAGAGAAUUACUUUUGUUCCUCCAUGCAGGUUGGAUUUAUGUAAAUGACCACACAGGAUAGGUGCCUUUAUUUAGUCACUACUAAAGCUGGAAUCAUGUUGUACAAGAGCUGAUAACAUGAAAUAACAUGAAACAAGUGGGCUUAUCCCUUCAGAAGCUUGUUUUACAGUACUGGUAUUUCUCUUUAGCAAAUCCUGCUGCGUUUUUAAAUAAUACAAUAAAACAACAUAAAUGUCUUUGUGGAAAAACUGAUUGUUUCAGAAGGAACAUGGCUGUUUUAUUCUUGUCUUUUAUCUCUUCCACACUGAAUUUUUGAAAAUAUGAACAGCUCCCUGGCCUGUGCGGAUAUAUAAUAGGUGAUUUGCUUAGGAACCCCCACAAUUAUUCACAUGCUGGAGAAAGGAAGAACAGGAGGAAACCCCGUGUUGACAACAGUAACACCCUGAAUAAAUACAAAAAGAAGAUGGAAAUGUGCCUUUUGCAGCCCUGUCACAGAUGAAGACUGCUCAUGAUAGAUACUUAGUUCUCUGACAGCUUCCCCUGCACCUUCAGUGGAAAGUUGAUAGAAAUUACUCCAGCUGAAUGCUUAAAGCAGAUGUUAUCCCAUUAAUUAGCUUUGGACGCGGGUACACUCGAGACUUUCCCAUUUUCAGGCCGCAAGGAAUUGGUCCCAGUGAGCGUGCUCUAUAUUCACAUUUAGGAUCAUCUCAUAAACAGCAGUGAAAACACAGCAGGCCCUUGAUGAAGAUACAUUAGCUUAUUUCUAAUUUAAAGUUACGUUGCUUAACCUUAAUGUAAUUGGUCACCGGUGGCCAACUGUUUGUAAAGUGUGUUGAUGACCAAAGAGAUGUAAUAAAUUAUAAAACUCUCUGCUUAAAUAGAGGGAACGACUGUUUUGUUAAAAGCUUUGCAUGUAAUAAUGGUAAAAUAAUUACACCUCAGACUGAAUAACUGUGAAGCUGUUAAUACAACAACAGAGCUGUCCUCAA